RNAcentral lists this ribosomal RNA (1042 nucleotides) under Alcaligenes faecalis. Its description in RNAcentral is "bacterial SSU rRNA". It matches the Rfam family "Bacterial small subunit ribosomal RNA", at positions 447 to 1475 of the family's 1533-position model. The record is from RNAcentral. Lineage: Bacteria; Pseudomonadati; Pseudomonadota; Betaproteobacteria; Burkholderiales; Alcaligenaceae.
GAAACGUCGUUGGGCUACUACCCCCCGCUGUAGACUGUCGGUACCUGCAAGAAGUAAAGCACAGGCUCACUACGUGCCAGCAGCACGCAGGUAUACGUAGAGUGCGAUGCGUUAAUCUGAAUUACUGUGCGUAAAGCGCGCGCAGGCGGUUCGGACAGAUAGAUAUGAAAUCCCCAGAGCUCAACUUUGGAACUGCAUUUUUAACUACCCGGGCUAGAGUGUGUCAGAGGGAGGUGGAAUUCCGCGUGUAGCAGUGAAAUGCGUAUAUAUGCGGAGGAACACCGAUAGGGAAGGCACCCUCUCGGGAUAACACUGUCGCUCAUGCACGAAAGCGUGGGGAGCAAACAGGAUUAGAUACCCUGGUAGUGCACGCCCUAAACGAUGUCAACUAGAUGUUGGGGCCUUCGGGCCUUGGUAGCGCAGCUAACGCGUGAAGUUGACCGCCUGGGGAGUACGGUCGCAAGAUUAAAACUCAAAGGAAUUGACGGGGACCCGCACAAGCGGUGGAUGAUGUGGAUUAAUUUGAUGCAACGCGAAAAACCUUACCUUCCCCUUACACGUCUGGAAUGCCGAAGAGAUUUGGCAGUGCUCGCAAGAGAACCGGAACACAGGUGCUGCAUGGCCGUCUUCAGCUCUUGUCUUGAGAUGUUGGGUUAAGUCCCGCAACGAGCGCAACCCUUUUCUUUAGUUGGUACGAAAGGGCACUCUAAUGAGACUGCCGGUGACAAACCGGAGGAAGGUGGGGAUGACGUCAAGUCCUCAUGGCCCUUAUGGGUAGGGCUUCACACGUCAUACAAUGGUCGGGACAGAGGGUCGCCAACCCGCGAGGGGGAGCCAAUCCCAGAAACCCGAUCGUAGUCCGGAUCGCAGUCUGCAACUCGACUGCGUGAAGUGGGAAUCGCUAGUAAUCGCGGAUCAGCAUGUCGCGGUGAAUACGUUCCCGGGUCUUGUACACACCACCCCUCACACCAUGGGAGUGGGUUUUUCCAGAAGUAGUUAGCCUAACUGCAAGGGGGGCGGUAUCCCCGAGAGUUUCCGGGGU